UCUGCCUGGUUCAGCCCACCUGCCUCCCCUCCUGCCUCCACCAUGUCCAUCAAGGUGACCCAGAAGUCCUGCAAGGUGUCCAUCUCUGGACCCCAGACCUUCAGCAGUUGCUCCUAUAUGAGUGGGCCUGAUACCCACAUCAGCUCCUCAAGCUUCUCCUGAGUGUGCAGCAACAGCAGCUUCGGGGUGGCCUGGGCAGAGGCUAUGGUGGGGCCAGUGGCAUGGGAGGCAUCACCACCAUCAUGGUCAACCAGAGCCUGCUAAGCCCCCUUAACCUGGAGUUGGACCCCAACAUCCAGGCCAUGCGCACCCAGGAGAAGGAGUAGAUCAAGACCCUCAACAACAAGUUUGCCUCCUUCAUAGACAAAGUACGGUUCCUGGGGCAGCAGAACAAGAUGCUGGAGACCAAGUGGAGCCUCCUGCAGCAGCAGAAGAUGGCUCAGAGCAACAUAGACAAGAUGUUUGAGAGCUACAUCAACAAACUUCAGUGGUAGCUGGAGACUCUGGGCUAGAAGAAGCUGAAGCUGGAGGCAGAGCUUGGCAACAUGCAGGGACUGGAGAAAAAGUAUGAGGAUGAGAUCAAUAAGCAUACAGAGAUGGAGAAUGAAUUUGUCCUCAUCAAGAAGGAUGUGGAUGAAGCUUACAUGAACAAGGUGGAGCUGGAGUCUCACCUGGAAGGGCUGACUGACAUGAUCAACUUCCUCAGGCAGCUGCAUGAAGAGGAGACCCGGGAGCUGCAGUCCCAGAUCUCAGAUGUGUCUGUGGUGCUGUCCAUGGACAACAGCGCUCCCUGGACAUGGACAGCAUCAUUGCUGUACAAGGAGAUUGCCAACCACAGCUGGGCUGAGGCUGAGAAUAUGUACCACAUCAAGUAUGAGGAGCUGCAGACGCAGGCUAGGAAGCACGGGGAUGACUUGCAGCAUGCAAAGAUAGAUCUCCGAAAUGAACCGGAAUAUCAGCCCACUCCAGGCUGAGAUUGAGGAACUCACAGGACAGAGGGCUUCCCUGGAGGCUACCAUCACAGAUGCCGAGCAGCGUGGGGAGCUGACCAUUAAGGAUGCCAAUGCCAAGCUAUCUGAGCUGGAGGCCACCCUGCAGCAGGCCAAGCAGGACAUGGCACAGCAGCUGUGUGAGUACCAGGAGCUGAUGAACGUCAAACUGGCCCUGGACAUUGAGAUCGCCACCUACAGGAAGCUGCUGGAGAGCAAGGAAAGCCGGCUGGAGUCUGGGAUGCAGAACAUGAGUAUCCAUAUGAAGACCACCAGCAACUAUGGAGGUGGGCUGAGUUCGGUCUAUGGAGGCAUUCACAAGCCCCAGCCUCGGCUACGGCCUGGCCUGCAGCUGUGGCUCUGGCAUGGGCUCCAGCUCCUUCAGCCACACCAGCUCCACCAGAGCCAUAGUUGUGAAGGAGAUCGAGACUUGAGAUGGGAAGCUGGUAUUCGAGUCCUCUGACGUCCUGCCCAAGUGAACAGCUGCAGCAGCCCCUCCCAGCCUGCCCCUCCUGCAGCUGCCCCAGAGCAGGGAGGGAGGCCGCUGUGCAGGGGAGCACAGGGAACAGGAGACCCACCUGAGGCUCAGCCCUAGCCCUUAGCCCGCCCGGGGAAGUUUACUGCCUGGGGACCCCUACUUGCCCAUGCCUCCCGCUAUAAAACAAUUCAAUUGCUUUUUUUGGUUUUUGUUGUUGUUGUUUUAUCCAAAAUAAAACCUCAGCUAGCUCUGCCAAAAAAAAA
Saimiri boliviensis boliviensis (Bolivian squirrel monkey) is the source of this 1730-nucleotide non-coding RNA. Lineage: Eukaryota; Metazoa; Chordata; Mammalia; Primates; Cebidae. The record is from RefSeq and is a predicted model, not a curated record.